This 19943-nucleotide long non-coding RNA is filed under the name Gallus gallus (chicken). The record is from RNAcentral. Lineage: Eukaryota; Metazoa; Chordata; Aves; Galliformes; Phasianidae.
GGGGGGGGGGUAGCUUGCUGCAUGCAGUGCCCCCCACUUGCCCUCUCUCAGGACAGGAGGGCUGCAGCGGUGCUGGGGUGGUCCCAUGGUGUGGGGCCCCCCCGGCUCGCAGAGUUUGUGUUUGCCCCGUGCCAAAAUGUGACUUGAUCCCAAGAUGGUCAGCAAAUGGCCAGUGCUUGACAUUUUGUGGAAAAGAGAUGUUUAAAUGGAUAAUAAUCCCUCGGCUAUAAUUCCCAUUUUUGAAGUAAUUGAACAAAUUCUUCAUCUCUUGUUGACUGUACAUAUUUUUCUGGUGUUAAUAGGCUGGCAAAAAAUAUUGCUUGUCUAACUUAUUACAAACAAUAUUUGCUGAGCAAAUACUGCCUGCCUUGUCUGGGCUGAGCCGAGCAGAGCAGGAAAUCCAAUAUUUUCAGAGGGGCAUCGACAAACUGCAGCUUUGGCUUUUGGUUUUUUCUCUGUUUGUGCACCCAUUGGGGCACCUGGGGAGCCCUGGGAUGUGGAUCCUAAUGGCACCCCAUGCCUCUGCCCGCACCCUCUGACACACGUGAGGCAGAGCUUGGAGUGCUGCAGGUGUCCUGCUGCUGUGUGUUGAUGAAGGGUGUUGCACGGACUGCUGGAUGAUCCCAACGUUGUAGUGGGAUCUGUGCAGCUACGCUUCGGGAUCCCAUUCUGUGUGACACCUCUGUGCUGUCCUGUGUGGGAAACCUCAGUCCCAGUGCUGGAGGCAGAUCCUGGGGAGCCCACGCUCCCUUUGCCUCAGCACUGAGUGGAGCUGAGUGGUCUCCGAGCAGCACCAGGUGUGUGUGCGGUGCUGUGCUGGUGGUUGGCCUUCACGUUGUCAUUUGUGGGGUGUUGUCCUGGCAGGAAGGCCGGUACUCUGUCUAACGUAGCUGAUAACAAGUUAGGGAUCUGCUUGUGUCUAAAACAUGCCUCAAAACUGUAUUAUUAUUAUUAUUUUCAUGUGUGUGCUCUUAGCUAAAUCCGCAUCAGCAGAGAGGUCCAAUUAGAGCCCCCAGCCUUCACCGAGCUGUCAGUGCAGAAAGUAAUGUUCAUCUUCUUGCAGAAAUUUUCCCCCACGAUGAGCACAUUAUCAGGAAAUAGAAUUCAGAUGAGAGCAGUGCGGUCCCUCUAGGGCUGGAGGGAAAACUCAGUGCUUUUCCGAUGGGAUGCGCCCUGUUAUCGCAUUGACAGGGCCAGAACCUCGAUAAGGGGCUGGGAGGUGACCUUAAACUUUGGUCACCCCUACAGACAGCUGUCUGUGGGAGCCCUGUGUUGUUUUGUCCUUUAGUAAAAUGAUAUACAGAUCUUUUUGAGCGGUCCCCUCUGAAACGUUAUACGCUAGCAGCUGAAAUAAAUGGAUUCCUAUUAUUUCCCUGCAUGCAGGGGGGUGUGCGUGCUCCAGUGCCUCGGGGCAGCGGGUUCCUCCAGAGGAGUGUUUCCUGCAGGGACGGGGCCAGGAGGUGCUCCCAGUGCUCUGAUGUCCACGUGUGCUUCAUAAAUGGCAGUGGCACAAAAAAGGGGAAAGCGCUCGGUGUGCUGUGGAUUUCUCCUUGUCCAUGGGUGCUGCCCAGCAGGGCUGCAGGCAAAGGGGGGUUGUUGGGACACAACUGUUGGUUAGCAGUGUGUGCCCAUGUGGUUGGCUGGCACUGCAGAGUCACUGCAUGCUGUGGCACUGGGGCUGUGGUGUGCUUGGCUGCAACAGGUGGUUUUCUUCUGGUUUGGAGGUCAGCCUUUCAGUCUGUGUUCAUGCAUGUGCUUUUUGUUGGAGUACUUAAAAUCUGCUCUGAUGAGAUUUUGAAAAUAAGUGAGAAUUGGAACCCUCCAUGUCAGUGAAGAGGGAGAAAGGAUAUCAGUGAGUGUAUGGACCGAGGGCUGUACUGGACUACCAAAAUCUGCUUUGCUUAAUUUCUAAUCCUAAAUGGAGCCUUUGUUGUGUUUGUGAUAGCGUGUUGUGGUCCCUCCUUGUGUUCUUCCUCUAGGUGUGUUUGUCACUGGGCGGUAAGGUGACCUGUGCUAGCAGGGCUUUGGGUUUCCCCCUGGAAAUUAAAUCUGAGUACUUAGGCAGAAUUUUAUGACAGAAGCGUUGGGAAGGCGUAAGGGUUUUUUUGUUUGUUUUUAUCUCAAAAUGCUGUGAAUUCCCCUUGCCCACUUCAGAAAAUUCUCAGCAGUGGUGUUCCUGUAAGCACAGGGCUCUCUGUGGCUCCUGCACACUGACCUGGUGAUGGGGGCAGUUAGGAUGAGUGCUGUGUGGAGCCUCUUGUAGCUCUUUGGCAUUUGGCCGUAUCAUUUAACUGACAUGGCAGUUGUCAUCUGAAAAUAUUGCAUCUUGCUUCUGCGAUGCCCACCUGUGGUUUGACCUACGUCUCCCUGGCUCUACCCCCAUCAGGUAAAGACAGAUUUGACGUUUAUUUAUUUAUUUAAAGGAAAAAAAAAACAACCCAAGCCCACAGACAGAGCCCAGGAAGCAGAGACUUCUCUUUUCCCUUCCUUCCCCUGAACCUUCUCAGUUAAACGUGACUCCCUCUCAGGCUGUGCCCCACUGGUACGUGCAUGGGGUGCUCAUCUCCCUUGGGCACAGCGCUGGGGCUAAAAGCUGGGACAUUGGGUUUGCCCAGUGCUGGUCAUCACAGCGUGCUGCAGCCCAGGAGAUGGAUGGGGGAUUUUUGGGCACCUCCCGAAAUGAAUGGGACGGAGGGGAGCGUGUGUUCCUUGUUAUGUUCAGAUGAAGCUGCUCAUUAUUCGUGGAGGUGAUUGGUGAAUCAGAGUGAGAGAAGUGAAAUGAGUGAGUGGUGGCUGAGGGCUCUCUGAUCAUCGCUGUUCCUUUCAAGUACAAAAAACAGCCCUAAAAGGGAACUUCAUCAGCAUGUUAAUGAAUGCGAUCUUGGAGAGCAAUUGUUCUCCCAAAGUAGUCAUAAAGAUGAGGGGUUGUGUUUUCCUUUUGGCUUUUGUUUAUCAAUUUUACAAAUUCCAGCAAAGCUUUGGAACACUGCGUGGAAAUUUUAACUUUCUGGGUGUGUGUGUGUAUGUGUAAGAGUUGUGUGUAUUUCUUUUUUUUUUAAAGGAAUGUUUAACCUAUUUAUAGCAUCUCCUGGAGGACCCACGUGCAGGCAGGCAUUGGGCAGCAGCAGGUCCUUGGGUGGAGCAGGCAGACAUUGACCUUGUGCUCACCUUGAGGUGCUGGUCCCCUCUGGCCCCCGACCCCAGGGGUCGAGCAUAGUGACUGCCCCCCUCCCCCUGGUGACUGCUCUGCUGUUGGUGUCACGGGGUUCAGGGAACCCACACAAUGCCAGCAGGUUCUACACAGUGUCCUUGGAUUCUUCAGCUGCUGUUCUGAUAAGGCUGCUCUCCUGUGUGCUGGUGCUCUGAUCUCCCACUGAUAAGAAAAGCAGUGCAUGCAACUGCAACUUCAGAGGUGUGUGCUGGCUCUGCUGGCCUAGCUGUGCAGCUUCUCGUUCAUCAGAUCUCCCUGUGCAUUUUACAGUGUAGCUUCUCCUUGGCUAACCUGAAGUUAGAAACAAGCUCCUAGGCCUAAGUGUUUAUUUUCCUUCUACUUAAUUGCCAUGUGAUUUUGGUAUGAAGUCAGUGUUUCUGAUGGACUGUUGGUCCUGAAAGUAGUUUUUAAACUCCAGGCAAGGUGGUGACUGGGUAGGCAGUGUGCUGAAUGCCUCCUGGUUUUCCUGCAGGCUUGUUAGUCUGUAUGGAUCUGCUCUCCUCGCUGUUGGUUUUCGGUCUGAAGCAGGUACUCAUGGUGUGUUUUUGUUGCUAUCAAGGAGUGAGAGGUCCUGAGUACAGAGCUUGGGGGUUGGAAUGAGAUGAUUUUUGAGGUCCCUUCCAACUCAACCCAUUCUAUGGUUCUAAAACGGGGGCUCUGGGAUGCCAGUGUGCCUGCUUAGCCCUGAACAGAUACCCAGGUGCCUGCACUGUGCUACAGGGUGGUGCGGUGCUGGGGGGGGGAGGGUCUGGCUCUUGCUGGAGUGUUUUGCCUCACUGGUGAACCUUGCUGGGGAGGGUAGCGUGCAGGCUGGAUCAGCUGGUGGCAUUGUCACCUGGUGUGGGGCCGCUUGCACAAGAGCUGUGAGCUCAGCCCUGCUAAGGGCAGUGCCUGCUCGCCCAGGUCACUGGUGUGCCAUUAGCAGCAGCAGUGCCGUUGAGAAUAGCUGCGGUGUCGUGGGGAGGAAGUGGGGUGCUCACCCGAGGCCAGGCUGUGGGACACCCACAUCUUUCAAAGCUCAGCCUUUCUUCAGUGGGCUAAAACCUGGGGUGAAAGGUGGGAUGGAGCUUGUUGCAGUUUGAAGUGCACCUACAAAUGCAGAGAAGAUGAAAUAUUAUCCUUAAAUAAUAAUAAUCACAUUUAAAAACACAGGGUGUUAUGUAUUGCACAGGCAAGAUUUUUGGAUAAAAGAGCCCUAGUGUAGAUAGUGUUCCACUCAGUCCAAAUAGUAGAUGAUACCGGAUCCAAGGUAGUGUUUGCUUGUAGCAGUGCACUUGGCUGCUUGUCUAAUGGGAAGUGAGAACUUUGUUGUCCUCCCAGUAUGCCAAGGAUGUGCACUUCUUAUGUUUUAUCUCAGUUAUUUCCCAGAAUGGGACUGAGUAUUACAAUGUUUCUUUCUGGGAAAAUAACAGUGCAAGGGAGAUGGGAGGGAUGGGGUGAGCUGGGCACAGUGCUGUUUCUCUGAGGUUCCUGCUUGCUGGGCUGAUGGAUUGCUCUACUGUACCUCUUUAAAAAUGCAUUGAGUGAUGGAGAUGCAAUGCCUGGGCUGCAGAGCCACGCUCACACAGCAGUACCCACAGCGCUCGCACUGCUUCCUGCGACUGUGAGGUUUGGGGGUGGUGUUUUCAUUCUGAUAUCUUCCUCCUCUCUUGUUUCCUGGCUGUGCGGUGCUGAGCUGUCUGGCACUGCAGGCUGCUUCCCUCCACCUGUCCGGAUCCUAAAUGGGUGGAGCUGGAAUCAAACAGCAUCUCCAAAGCAGCCUGUCCUGCCCCAUGCAGUAAUUUCUUCUUUUUUUUUUUUCUUUUAAAAUAAAAGUUUUGAAAUACAGUGUAGAGGACUUGCACCUCAGUAUCAGUUGUAUGUGAACAUCCUGCUGUAAGUGAGAACAAUUUCCAAUUCACUGCACUUUAAUGCCUCCAGUUUAUCACCGUAAAGGUAUAAAAGAGUUUUAUGUAGGUGAAGUGGCUCUUGCCAUUUAAAUAUCUCCUGGCUUUGCUGUGUUCCAGCACCACAGGAGCUUUGCUCCAGUCACGUUCCUUGCAAGGUCUGAACGCAAUUUUAUGAGCUCUGUUCCGUCUCUUUGAAAACUGGCCUCCUCCAAAGCUAAUGAAAUUUUAAGAACACUGUUGAGAUGCUGAAAGGAGAGCCAGUCUUCGUGUUGUUGACCCCAUAGGUGUGAAACAGAGGAGAGGGGUGAGCACUUUGGAGCCACCAGGGAUAGGGAGUGCCCUGCCCUGAGGACAGCCUGCCUCCGUCUGUAACUUUGCUGUUCUGGAUCUGAAGCUCAGAAAUAUCAGGUGAAAGCAGGCAUUGAGGCGGCUCUGUGUGUAGCACUUGGUGCUCCAGGAUGAACAGAGAGCAUUUCCUUUGUAGCACCGUCUUGCUUCAAGCCAAAAAGAGACUAAACUUGAACAAAAGUUGCAUCUGCAAGGUCAGUGGUUGGCAUGGAUAAGGGGAUUGAAGGGAUCAAAAUGAUUUCCCUGCGCUGCUGGCUGCAAAACAUGAGCUUAUGGCACCGUUCCUCUUUCUCCCUUUGUGCUCAGAGCAAAGCUUUUUUUAAUCUUGUGCUGCCUAUGUAUAGCUGUGCCACAUGGAUGUGGCAAUUGGAAGUGAAAUGCUCUAUUGCAGGGGCUUUUGGACUCUGUCAUUGGGCCUGAGGAAGUGCUGACGGAGCAGGAUGGUGUUGGGGCUCUCUUCUGAGUGUGCUGCAAGAAGUACACUUUUGUGAAUGUCUCUAUGCUGCACUUUUGGCUGCCAUCUAAAUGCAGUGCUUGUAGUGUUUGCUGUUGAGUAUCAUUGCGUUAUUUUCCCUUCCAACAGAUGUUCCUUCUAGGUCUGUAACACCUGUAGUUGUUUGCUGUUUUCUUCUGUGUUUCACAUUUAAAUGUAGAUUGAUUUGCUCUGCAGCCAGAUCCCUGGUCUGGGCUCUGCUUGAGGAUGUGCUUGGACUGGAGGAAGCAUACAGCUCAGGACUGGGGCUGCUGGCUGGGGCACACUGCUGGACACCCAGGUCACAUCCUGACCCCCUCCUGUUGGGCAGUGAGACUGGUUUGCUCACUGGUAACUCUUCUAUCUAUGGAAGAGCUAAAAAAUAAAACAAAAAAAAAUUAGGGCAAGAAGUGUCUUGUUAAACCUUGCAGCGGUGCCAAGUGCAUCAGCUAAUAAAUAUACUAUUGCUGUUGAUGUUUUUGGGCUCAUAAAUGUCUCUCGUGCUGCUGUCUGAGGACGUGCAGCCUCUUUAUCCCCUCCCGCCCGGUACAUGCUGCACACAGGGGGAGCAGGAAUCAGGGUUCUGUGCAGCUAGGAGAUGUUUAUGGAAUCAGCCAAACUUUAUAUAAAAUUAUUAUGGUGUUUUGACAGCUUGUUAAUAACUUGCAACCAAUGGAAGAAAUGGAAUUACAGCAUUCUUGGUCUUUGGAACCUUGGCAUUUCUUUCAGAUUGUAAAAUUAAAGAAAAAAUAUGAAAGCCAUUAAAAUAGUUGGACGUAGUGCCUGGGAAAAAUGAUGGGCCGCUUAAUUGAAAAAAUGCUUCGUUCUAGUUGGAGUUCAUUGCAGUUUGUUUCUGUCUGGCUGCCUGGGUCCGCUGCGGAGAGGGAAGAGACCCCAAAACCCACCUGAGAGUGGGGGGUGUCGCUCGGUUCUUCGUCUCGUCUGAAUGGAGUGGAAGGAAAUUGGAGCGAGCAUUAGACACGGGAGAAGUCUUGUCACCUGUAAUGACUAAAAUCCCCUGAAGUGUUGCCAGCAUGUACUUUAGGAAUCAUAUAAUUAUAUGAUUAUUGAAAGAGACAUAAAAGACCUCAUGGCAAAAACCUUAGAAAGGGGGAGGGAGGGAAUCCAUAUGCAAAUGAAGAUGCACAGAAUUUGCUGUCGCUUUUUUUUUCUGCUUAUUUUUCAGCGCAAAGCUCAGUAAUUGCUUUUAUGGGGAUUACUUAAUAAAACUGGGGCAUGGAAAGGAGGGAGAUGUUUAUGCUGUGUCACAGGACUGGCUUGCAUUCCUAUGGAGUCAGAGUAUAAAUGAAUGUUAAAAGUAAAACUACAGACUGGGUUUUCUGCUAACAGAAAAUAGCUAUUUGUUGUAACGUUAUCCUACAAUAAAAGUGUUCUGUGGUCUGGUGGUUAGCAGAGGGGACCAGAAGGCGAGAUAAUGGGGUUUUCUUUCUGACUCUGCCACGGGCUUCCUGCCGGAGUUUGGGUAGGUCCCAUCCCUGUGGUGCUCAGAGCUGUGGGUUUGCUGUCCCCUGCCCUGAGCAGCCCUUGGCUCACCUUUAGCCCUUGGCACAUGGAAACUCAGUGUUAGAUUUUCCUGAGCUUCAGUUACCCCUGAAGCACAGGUCUGGAGCCGAGGAGCCAAAGCCCUCCCAGCCUUCAGCUUUUCCUCACUGGUACCCUAGAUUUAUAGCCUUGCUGCUCAUAGAAGCACUAAUUCAUGUGGUUACAAGGGAACUCUCCUGAUGCAGAACAGACUCAUAUCUCAAGAGAGGUUUUCUUGCAAGAUAGGCAAAAAUCUCCUUUGUUUUUCUUCUCAGAAUUACUAAAGCAUUUGGUGCAUUAAAUAGGGGAAAAAAAUCAUGCUGCUAUUAGUGUUGCAUUACUGAAUGUUUUGCAAGAUUCUCUACAGGAAAAAGAGUAGCAUUUGCUCUGGGAAUCUAGUCUGAAGCUAAAUAGCACCAAGUUGUGAUGUAAGUUUGCUAAUGUGAUUUUUAGCUGAAAAUGACAAUGGUUUUCCAACCAGAUGGAUUCUAUAGGGUGCCUGCUAUCAGCUCAUCCAUCACGCUCCACAGAUGUCUGUACAUUCAUUAUAAUGGGUGUGUGGUAAUGCUGCUGAUUACAUCGAACGAGCUGAUAAACCCACUCCAGCCUGAUUACCACUGCCCUGGUGGGUGCUGGCCCUGAGGGCACAGAGCGAGGCCCGGAGGUCCUUGUCACUGGGCCCGUUUGUGGGAAAGGUGAUCUUUUCAGCAGCUGCUGGAGAUGAGGUUUUCUAGAGCCUUAUGUUAGCACCAGACCUUCAGUUCUAAGAAACAAGCUUGUGUUUUGGCACUUACAGAAUGUGCCAUUUCCAAAGCAGGGGUUGCGAUCUGGUGCAACGAGGGCCUAUGUGUAAAGUACGUUCCCAGAUCAUGAGCUCAGAUAAACAACUAUGGGUAGUUUGUUUUCAUAAAUGCUUCCCAGGAAUUAUUUCUGAAGUUGCGGGGGGAGGGAAAGCAGCUGUUUUCAGAGUGUACAUCUUCGGGUUCUUAGCCUCACCCACACGGUGCCCUGAGGAGCACAGUGAUGGUGCUGGGGCGGCUGAGCGUGGAUUCCCACCUGGGAGGGGGGGCUGGAGGCUGGCACCUCUGUGUGCAGGGCUGCAGGUGCCGGGCUCUAUGCUGCAGCCCUCCGGCUGCCUCCCUGGUGCUGUGGGCUCUAAGAGCUUCAUCAGAGUUGUUUGUUUUGAGCACUGGAACGCGUUGUGUUGCUCCGGUGUCAGGGCUAGCGAGCGAGCAGCUUCUCCUGGAAGGCAUCUUGCAAGCAAAUGCACCUUUCCAGCAUUGUUUUUUUUAUUCACGCUUUGAUUUUUAUGUAAUUCUGAUUUUCUGCUCGUUACAGCAAGUGAAUUUUCACUGUUUCAGUGCAUUUGCCUGGGAAAAAAGGAACGAGUGCUGAGAUGGAGGAAUAGAUUUUUGUCUCAAGCGAUACAUGAAUUCUUUUUGUUCUUUUACAUCUCCCUCCCUCUGUGCAUGUGUAUGUUAAAAUUCCCGUUCCCUGUUUAUAAAUGUUUAGCAGCUGAAGUCACUGGUGUUUUUCAAAGUAGUACCUUUGCGAGGUUGAGAACAUAAGCAAAAUGUGAUUCUUCACUCGGUCUCAGCUGAAUACUGUAGGAAUAAUGAGUCUGUGCCUACAGCACAAACCGAGACACAAAAAGCAUGCCAAUAAGAAUACAAGCCUGGGGGAAGAGAUAGCGUGGUGUGUUUUAGCAACUGUACUGGAGCAUUCCUGCCUGUUUUUGGGGGCUGGGAAGGGUCAGCCGUGGUGUGAGGCUGCUCUGCUGAUGGCAGCCCGGCUGGCACUGCCUCUGGGCUGGGCAUGCAGCUGGCAACGUCUUCCUGGUGAUGGAGGCAUGUCGAAAAGAGCCAGCACAGCUGUCUUGCUACGUGUUCCUGUGCUGGUGAAGGGAAGAGAAAUGGAUCGGACAUCUUCCUGAUCGGUGAAUUGACAUCUCGUGGCUCAUGCUUCCUAGGUGGCUGCCAGCUUGCAACAUCCAUAUCUUCUGGGGGAUGCAGGUACCUUCCAGGCAUGUUUGGGUUACAGCUGAAUUAUGAGGUAAAGUCUUUGCAGUGAUGUACAGAUUAUUUUUUUUAGACUAUCUAGUUCCUCUAGUAAUGCGUUGUCAAGUUUUAAAGCUGAAUGAACUUCAAAUAUCAUCUGUGUUUCCCAGCAUUUUCUGUUUUCUGUUUUAUUUAGCCUGAAUAAAGACAGUGUUGUGUUCCCUUUAGAUUAUGGCCAUGGAAAUGGUUUGUCUCUCAUUAAUUAAAGAGUGAGAUGGAGUGCCCGGUUACUUAGCGCUGCUCCUCUUAACGUUGAAUGUUCGUCCUUUGCCCCCACUUUUUGAUGUAGAUUUUUCUCUAAAGUGUUUUAAAAACGUGUUUCUAAAAGACCUAAUUAGGGUUGAUAUUUCUGUAUCUGGGUUUGUAAUUCAGCUUUUAUAAUAGGACACCAGGGCAUCAGCACUAAAUACAAAGAAAAUUGAGCCUAUACCCAAAGCGGUGUGUGUGGUUUUGAAUAAAAACAAACGCCCUACAACUUCAGGCUGAGUUACCUGUUGGUGCAGUGCUUAUCCCGGGUUCAGUGUGCCCUUUGGAGUGAAGGGGAAAAUGGCAUCUGACUAAUGCAGAAGUAAUUAGUCACUUCGCUUUAUGGUUUGAGGAAAAAUCUGCCUAGGCAAACAUGUCCCAGCUGGGCAGAUAGCUGUGUGGCUGAUUCUGUUUUAGGCCCGAUAAAGCAUUGUUCACACCUGUUUGGAACGUAAUAGGGGAAUAAAUGGGAAACCCGGGCUGCUCGGUGCUGUGCGUUGUGCAGACAGGCCGUGCUCCAACGCAGGGAUUUAUUUCAUGCAUGGUGGCCUAGACAUGAAACAAACGUGUAGAAAAAGGAAUUAUGUAAAAUUGAAAGUGACAAUUAUGCAAACAUUCCGGCUGAGGAAGAAGUAAAUUCUUCUCAUUUUCCAUGUGCUCGACUUCAGCGCUAACGAGCAGCCUGUUGGGGUUUUCAUGUCCGCGUCUGUAUCUGUCAUCUCUCUCAUCUCGUUUUGUGUUUUCUUUUUUGCUGUUGCUUUGACCUUAUUUUCCCUUUUGUUCCAUGGCUCUGUCCCCGUGCUGUUGGCAGGUAGCCUUGUGCAGAGCUGCCCUGUUGGGUGUCUGUGCUGCCUGGGAAUUCCCACCGUGCAAUAGCAGGGAGGCACAGCAGUGGCUGCGAUCUGAUAUCACUGUCUGCCUUUGCUGCAGGGGACGGUCCUUUCCUGCCUGGUCCCGUUGCCUUCUGUGUUCCAGCACCAGUAUUUAGACUGGCACAGGGGGAGAGGAUGAAAGAAACCACUCUACUGUUGUGGCUUGAGCCUCUGCAGUGGGGCUGUGGCCAGGUUCACCCUGUGGUUUGGGUCACCUGGGCGGUGGAUCCACAGACAGGGAUGGACAGUGUAGAAUGGCAAUGAUGCUGCGCCGGUGCUUUCCAUACUGCUUUCAGUUCAGCCUGUGGAGUUGGGCAGAGGGGCCAAAUGUAGGGGCCGAUGGGAAUGGGUUACUAGGAAAGACAAAAGCUCGAAGCAAUUCAAUUGGUCUGGAAACCUGGUUUCCACCUUGCUUUUACUGAUUAAUUUCAAUAUGAUGGGGAUAAAGAGUCUCUUGUUUGUGCUUGGCCAGGUGCUUUAUGUGAAAGAGGUAUCUAACCCUGUUGAUGGCAGAAGGUUAAAAUUAGUUCAGUCUGUACACUUUCACAGCUCAGUUUACACAAGAAUAUUUCUUGUGUAAAUUUCUGGUGCUUGUGCUGUGUGAAGGAGAAGCGCAUUCUGAAUAUUAAAUCCAGAGAGUGGGGGAAGAAGCAGCUCUUCUCUUCAGUGUCGCUUUUCCUUGCUCUAAUCCCGCAGAGGGAUUGAAGAAAGUGUUGGGAGGAUAAGAUCUGUGUUUGAGCCCAGUGAAAAGAUGACUCCGCUGAGGUAAAUGGUUUUAAUAGAGGCUGGUUGUGUGGGGAGGGUGAGAAAAUUGCGCAGGGAUUGUGCAAAUUUCUAAAUAAAAAGCAUUUAAUUGCGUUAACAGAGAGGGAGGAACCCUCUUGUGUGCACAUCAGAAACUUUAGUGAGCGCACAUAACCUCUGUGGCAUGGUAGUCAUUGACCUUGUCAAAUCAUGGCACUGGAGGUCAUGUGUGGCAUAGUGGGUUGCCACAGGGGAUUAGCACAUGUGGGCAGAGGGGUUUUAAAUCAGAGCACACAUGCCAAAUCUCAUCUCCAGCAGCGCAUAUGGAUUCAUCAGAAAACCCAAGGAGAGAAGAUCAGAAGGCACCUGGUGUGGGAGAGAGCCACUGGGGUUGGGCUGCAGCCCCAUGUGCAGGGGAUGGCUGGCCUGGGCCCCAGCUUACUGGUGGGAUGUGCCUGGAGCUUGGCUGUAAGGACCUGUGAGCUGUCCUUGGCAGUCUCAGGUUUUGGUGGUGUGUGCUCACCACUGCCUUUUUUUGCCUCAGUUAAGGAGGGCAGCAAGAAUGUGAAACUAGCAGGUUGAAUACAAAUGGUCUAGAUAUAAAUGAAGAUACAGAUGGGAAUGCCUGAAGCAUAGGGAAGCAAUUCACUGCGAGCAACUGAUCCGUUUUCUCUGUGCCUAGAAAGGAGAACAUCGAAGGCUUGAACUUUCCUGCGUUGUUGAAGUGUUUAAUAGAAAGCUUGUUGGCAUGGCAUCGUUGCAGCCUAAGCAGCCGAGUGUGAGGCUUUGUACAGCCUGCUCUGCGCUGCCCUGGGCUGGUAGGCAGGCAGGCCCACAGCGUGGCUUUCUGUUUAUUAGCUGACAGGCAAUAGCUUACGGCUCAAUCAGGAAUGCAAGUGCUGCCUGUGUGCUUAAAGCAGGUUCUGUGCAGGAUGGAAAAUCAUGUUCUCUGUCAUAUCUGCGCAUGUAAUGUGUAAUCAGAGCUGCCAAGGCCACGCUUCAGUGUUAGAGCUGUGGCCCCCUGCCCCAAGCCGAGUUAUCCUGGUAGCGGAGCAUGGCUGUGCAAUGGCUCAUUGCUGUCCAUACAGGUAAGCCUGGUGCCAUAAGGGAGCUGAGUUAGGUUUCUUUCUGUUCUACAGAACCAAUGAAUAGAGUUGUCUGUUUUUAUUAAAGACUCAGAUUAUGUUGCGUGAAUUGUUUCUCUUCAUAUUACUCUUAUAUUCUUCUAAAAGUCUGCCUUAGUUGAUUUAAUUUCACAUCUCACAAAGAAAGUAUUGAAAAUUGAGUCCUAGCAGUGAAAUGGUUGGAGCUGAGUUAAAGUGGCCUUAAGGCUGAAGCUGGCCAGUCUUUGUGCUUGCCAGCAAGGGAAUCAUUUGUCCCCAGUCUCGAUUGUCUCACAGUGAGGGAAGAUGACUAAUGCUUUGCUCCCGCCUCAGUUAUAAGGACCUGGAUUGAAACUGAUUGGAGCAGUGAGAACACUGAAUCAAAGUUCCUGGAGAGCUGCGGUUCUUCAGAAUGUUUGUGCCAAGAAAACAUUGAAGUUCUGCAAAGUUAUGAUUUUUAGAAGUCAGUGUUUGCGAGAAUAUCAUUGACAAUGUGAUGCUGAGAAUCGGGUGAGAAAGAUCCCCUGUUUGGAGGGGCAGCUGUGUCUCCAAGGGAAGGCACAGAUAGCAGUAGCAAGAGACAAGCUGAGCUUCUCAGUGCUGAUGGCUGUCUGCGCUUUUCAGAGGGUCUGUCAUUUUGUACCAAGAUGUUUGAAACCACCGGGAAUGGGCUGGUGUUCUGUAGCACUGUUGGGAUGCAGGCAGAGUGGCUGUGCUCGUGCUGCUGUGGCUGUGGGGCUCUGAGCGGAGCCUGGCUGCUUCUGCUUCGUUAGGGCAUUCGCUGCUCCAGAUCACAUCCCAAAUAUUAGGCUGGACUUGGGGAAUUAAGUGGUGCAAUUAUGAAGCGGAGGGAAAAACACUUAUGUGGUGGCUGUGAUAGAUUAGUCAUUUUGUACCUCCAAAUAGCCAAUUAUUCCUCUGACUGGCUUUUAUCUGACCAAUUUGCAUGUGCAGUCAUGGUAACUGGUUUGCAGAUUAGGCACAGCGUUUCGAGAAGAUCUGAUGUCGAGUUUCGGUCUGGUCUGCUUGGGAGCAGGAAGCAAAAUAGGUGGAUGAGAGAUUCAGCAUUAAAGAUUACAAUGGGCUGCCUGGUAUUUUUCACUCUCAAAGCCUUUUCACUCUUGCGGGGGACAAGAUGGCUCACUUUAUUGUAGUCUUUUCUUUUUGUAAAUGUGUGGCAGGGCCGUGUGAAGUGGUCCCAGCUCUGUGGAACCUGCAAUGCUGAUUUCAUUUGUAUUGGAGCACUCUGCUGCAUAGCUGGAGAACAUGCUGCUCGAGGGCUGGGAACUCGCUGGAGCGUCAGCGCGUUUCGUAAGAGAUAGGAAGGGAAAAAGAGCUGGAGGAAAGAAGGAAAAAUAAACCCAAGCAGCAUGGAGUGACCGAGGGUGAAGUCCUGCCUCCUUGAAGUCGGUGUCAUAACUGCCUUCGCUGGCGCCGAGUUUCCCUGUCCUGCCUGAUUUUGAUCUUGGCUACGUGGGUGUGCUGCAAAUUAACAAAGUGGUUAUUUGAUUUAAUACCGUACACCUAGAGAGCUAAGUGAAAUCUUAAUUUGAACAAUAUUAAUAAUUCAGAUAGCUGUAUUUUGCUAUUAGGUUAAAUAUAAGCUCUGUUUGUGUCUGGGAUUUGUGUCAAUUUAGCAUGCUGUGGACUUUGCAGAAUCUCUGAUAUAAAUGCUCUUUGAAGUGGAGAAAUGGUCUACAAUAUUUUCCAACAGUCAGCUAGCUUUUUAAAGCUCCAUUUGCUUCAAAUCAGCGAGCCUUUUUAAAAACAAACAAAUAAAAGGCAGUUUGCAAGUGCAAGAAUAACAAGAUACUCUUUAAAAAAGCCAUUUUUUUCAUAUGGGCUCCAGCUACUCAGCUGUAGUUACCUCGGUCUCCAGUGCUGCUAAAGACAAAUUAAGCUAAUAAAACAGUAUCUUGCAACAUUGUAGCAAAUAAAUUAUUUAAUGCGUAUGCAAGUAGUUUGCUAUGCCAAAUUUAAACUCUUUAAGCCUUUGCUCUUUGGAUGAGUAGAAGAGGCUAUUAGAAAUGUAACCCCGUUAAGGGUUUGCGAAACAAUGCCUCGCCCAGCCUGUAGCAGCUUUUGGUGUGUUCAGGGAAUACAGAUGAUAAGUUGAGGUGUACUUUUAAGGAAAUCAUAUCUUUAUUUUCUUGUAAGUGGCAACGUGGUCCUAGACCAAUAACAAACCCGUGCAUUAGAAGGCAGGUUCUGGGGAGGCUGCUGUAUCCACCUGUCUGCAUGGCCUGACCAGCCUUGGCAGGGAGCUGAAGGCGUUCCUUGGUUUGCAUCAUAUUCUGGCUGUAAUGGUGUAUGUGCGUGCAAGUACAUGCAUGAGCAUAUGUAUUUCCUCUCUGCCGUGUACAUAAAACAACUGGACUUCUCUUAGAUUUUUGUGCAAACUCGUUUGUUCCUUUGCCUGUUCUUUUGGGACUGACCCCUGGUCACACCAUAUGGUUUUCAAACAGAGCACCUGUGAAGUCUCCUGGUUUUGUGUAAAACAUACUGUAUGAACAGUUACAGGUGCACAAGCACCUCAUUUUAAGUUAUCUGAGCUGUUCUAGCUUGUAAGGCUUUUUAUGUUUUGAAUGCAGGAAUCAGCAUGCGAGGAGUUUUAUUAAAACUGGCUGUCAAGCUUCAUUUCAGCAUGUUUUUCUUCCAGCGGCUGCUGAGGAGCCCCUCCGAAGCAGUUUCAGCACAGCUUGGGGGACUGGAAAAAUCAGAGUUGAAAAUGGGGCAGGUCACGCUUUUUCCAACCCCCCCCCCCCCUCCUUCUCUAGAGAAGUUAUAUAAUCUCUGUUUCUUCUGUAAAACAAGGAUAACUUAUCUCAUGGCACUUCUACUGCUGAGUAGUUGUAAGUCCUGCAUGCAGGAUCUUUUUUGAUAGGAAGUACAUUAAGAUUAAAGUACAUGGUGUUUUGUUCUGAGGAGUUUGAGGAUGAAAUUUAUAGGCAACCGUAAGCUGUGUGUUUGUUUAUGAUAAAAUUGGGAGAUGGAGUAUAAAGGAACAGACACUGGUACUGGCCGUGUAACUUGCAGCUUUACAUUACAAACAGGCUCUUGUUUGUGGUGAUAAAGGCAAGAAAUCCAGUGUAUUCUGCUAGCUACAAAUAGCUACAAGGGGUAGAGCUUUUCACUCUUCAGAAUGAGCUUUUUCUCAUUCUCAAAUCAAUCUCUCAGCUGUUCCUUUUAAGAGGGUCUUCUCUCCACCUGUUUAGUAACUGUGAAUUUUUGUUGCUGUAAGAGUAAACAAACAUCUUUUGCUGCUAAACAUCAAUGCUGUCACCGUUCUCUCCUCCCCCACUUUCUUCUGUAUUCUUAGGAUUUAGCUAGCAGAACUGCUUCCUCCUUGCCCUCCCCAAUCCUUUAGCUGAAUCAGUAAGACGGUGCAGACAGCAGGCAAUAGGUUGCUCAUGAUUAUUGCUUUCCCUGCUAACCUUUCUUUCUUCUGUUUGGUUCUGUGAAAUCCUGUUGAAUUCCUCCAGCCUACCUGGUUUGGGCACUGCUGCAGCGCUGGGAAUCCCCACAGCGUGAGAGCUCUGCCCAGAGCAGAUUCCUAUCAGAGUGUGCUGCCCUUGGGAUUUCUGCAAAUCGCAUGCCGGAGGGCUGCCAAGUAACACUGCUCUGCAGGCACAGGAGUCGUCAUCUCUGCCCUGCAGCUCUUCUGGCUAUUGUGUAAAUACUGGAGGAUUUGGGGGGAUGAGCUUUGUGUGGAUGCUGAAGAAUUUUGGAAAGGAAAGGUGGGUUGGUGGCCUUGGAGUGUGGUUUUGUAACUGUGAGAGAUGUCUCCUCUCUAAUGGGUCUGCUGCCUUAUAGCUUCUGGUGACAAGAUUCAGAAUUUAUUUUUAAUCUUGAGAAGAAAAAUGGAAUGCUGAAGGCAGCCCUUCUUCCAGGCUGUUCUUGAGUGUUUCUGGACAUUCAUUUAUGGGCUGUUUGUUUCUGCACCCCUGCCACAGAAGCAGCUCAUCAGCUUUGUUGUGCUAUGAGUUGUUCCUUUCUGGUUUUGAGUCAAAGUGGGGAAAGUGCAGUUACAGUGCAGUGCUGUUCUCUUUCCCAUGGGCUGCAUAACCUCCGGUACCUGCUGACCACUUGGUCACUGCUGAAAGAGCAUCCUGCCAUGGGAAAAAUGUCUACUGGGACUUUAUUCCUGCUGUUUAGCCAAAGUCUUUUCAAUAAAAGUCCAUGCCAAGCAGGUGGGUGUACAGCAUGGGGGUGGGCAGUGGUGGUGGGUAACGCGGUCAGUGUGUACACCAUUGGUUGUGUUGCUGGUUUGCUUCGUCUGCCUCGUCACGUUCAGCCUGCGUUCCCUGUGCAUCGUAGCUGGGGGAAUGGCAGGGAGUUGCACAAAGCCGCCUUUCUUGUCAUAUCUGCUCAAAUCUCACGUGACAGUUGGACAGAAGCAGUUUUCACUGCUUGCAGUGAGGGAGAGGUGGAAUGGAUGGUGGAUUUAAAGAAAACUGUAUAUACUUUUCUUCCUAUAUGCAGGCAGCUUGUGUUUGUGGUGGUGGUGUGGGCAAGGAAGCACCUUGUUAUGCAAUCUGUGUGGGCUCUGUAGUGGGCAGAGCUUCCUCCCAGGUAUGGGUUUCUCCCCUGGCACUGCAAGCUGGGGUGCCUGGCAGCUCUUGCUUACACACACCUAAGUGUCUGAUAAAAAUGCAUUGAAGUUAUACUGAUAUUCUUCACCACCAUGGCUUCACUGGGCUAGGGAGGAAGUGAGACCCUGACAGAAGCGUAUCAGCAAUGACCUUGUGAAGCCCUGGGGAAAAAAUAAUUUGCCAAAGAGUGUGCAGUUACUUGUUAGGAUUACUGUCACCCUCCAAUCCUUCUCUUCAUAUCUUUUUCCUGUUGCCUUUGCACCCAUCAGCGAAUAUUUCUUUUUCUGCUGGCUGUAGGCACGUGAUGCUUUCUCAUCCAUUCUCUCUCAAUCUAGUUCUCACUGCUGGUCAUUUAAAGGCUUCCUUUGCAGGAAGGAGCACUGAGUAUUUGAUACACAGGCAUAUGUGAGAGAGCAGUGGAAUGGGAUUUGUAUAUUGCUGUGUUUUGAAAAAUGGUGAUCUUUCACCUGAUGAAUUGCUCUCUCAAACUUGAAUCUGGCAAUCCCCCUAAAUUGGACUUGGCUUUCUCUGGGAACUAUAAAAGCAGCAAAUUUCCAAAACCUUUUGCUAAUGGAUUACUGAGUGAAGAUCAAUAGAGAUGCUGAGAGAGGAGCCAGACCUGGAAAAAGAACAUAGAAUGCAAGCUGCCUGAUUAAUUUGCUCUAGAGAAUAAAAGCCUUCAGAGAUGAGAACAGGGUAUAAAACAAGCAGCUAUAGACUUCCUAUCUGCUGAGUAGAAAAUGUUAACUUCUCAGAUCUGGUAAAGAUUCCCAGCAUCGGUUUUGUAACGACAUACUGUAGCGUAAGGGGGAACAUUCAGUGCCUGCCUGGUCUCUGCCUGGCAAAGGAACCUCUGUGCUGUGUGUUGGGUGAGUGCUGGCAGGGGACGUGCUGGCUUCCAAACUGGAGAAUGUAUCUGCUUCUCAUCUUCCACUUAAGUCCACUGAGCUUCUCAAUUUCCUGUCUUUACUUGUAAGUGGCAGCAGCAAGCUUGCUUUCUUCUCUUACUUCAGAUGAUUCAGUCUGUAUUAAACAAAACAAAAAAACAAAAACAAACAAACAAAAAAAACCUAUUUCCUAAUGAACAGUCAUUUCUGCUCUCUGCAAGUCAUGGUUAACCCUCUCUGUAGGGCAUCCACCACACCUGGGAUGGAAUUUGUGGGCUACUGGCUGGUCUUGAAGCUGAAAAUGGAUGGUGAGCAAAGGAUCAAGUAGAAGUGCAUGCUUGCUGCUCAGAUGUUCUUAAUUCAGUGGAUUGUUGAGUCACAGCCUGAAGCACUGAUGGAGCACCUGGUGGGAAGGCAGGGCCAACACAGGGGAGCUCAGGUGCAUGCAAUGUACCUCAGUGAUUGGAAGGGGUGGAGCCAGGAUCCAGCCCUUCCUAGACCUCAUUUAAGGUGGCAGUGGAGGUGAGGGGAUCUCACUGGAGAUCCCUGCGUGCCUGAGGCCUUCUGGAGGUAAGCAGCUUCUUUCCUUUAUUUCUGUUCCUACAGCUGUUGUGUUUGAGCAAACCCUCACCUGCUGCAGGCUGGGACCGUGCUGUUAUUUGCUCCACUUUCUGUUGUGCUUUACCAAGCCAAGUGGCUUGUGUUUGUGGUGUUAUUUCAAUUCUGUUGCUGUUUUUUUUUUUUUUUUUGUGAUGGCAUAUAUUAGAGAAAGGUCAGUUUUCCAAGGGAAUAGGACUUCUAAGGCUGUUUUCUUGGAUGCUCCUCAGACUGUUGCAAAUGGGGCAGGAAUUUUCCCAAGUGGGUUUUGGCCAAGAGACUGAUGUUAAUGUCUUCUAUUGCUCAGAAAGAAGUAGAGCAGUAAGAGAGAAGGUUUCAUAGUCAAGACUGUCCAGAACUUCCAGUUUAUGUCCUGAUGGUACUUCUCCAGCAGCAAAGGUGCCUGGUAGACCCUGUGUUUCCACUGAGAAGGGAAAAUGUUAUUCUAAAAUCUUGUUUGCAUGUUGGUUCUCGAGCUUCUUAACAUGCAUGGUUUAUUUUUAGAGAAAACAAUGUCAGCCAGAUUUGUACUAAUUGUUGGCAACAGUGUGUUAGUCCCUCAAAUGCUGACAGGGAGACAAUGUUUGGUGAUUGCAGUCGUGCAAAGCUAAAAACGACUUCAAUUAAACAAUCAUGAAAUAUACUUUGCAGUGAAGGAGCUGAACAGCAGGGUUUUUGGUUUGGAGUUUUGUUUGUAUGUUUUGGGGUUUUUGACUCAGCUGAUUGCAGGUGUUGUGUGACAAAUUGGGUAUACUUGUGUUCUGCCUUGAAUUAUUGCUGGUUUUAUAAAAUAACAAAACCAAAAGCUAUCAUCCUCCUUAAAAGGAAUUUGUGAGAAGUUCCUCUCCUUUCCACCACCCCCAUCCUAGCACUGUAGCAGCACUGUUUCAGCAGCACUUAUGGUUUUUCUUUUGUUUUUAAGUUUACUAUAGCAGAGGUUUUUGUGGUGUUCUGGGGUUGCAUUUUUACAAUGUUGUUUAACUGUUCCGAGGCCUCUGUUCAGCCCUGCUGUUCCCUGUGGUGUGCACCCCAGGGCUGACGGGGGGGGGGGAGGGGGGGCUGCCUUCCUGCUGUGAGCUGGGCCUGUGGCUUCAGCAGUCCUCGUGUUAUUUCCUAGCUUGUAGGAAGGAGAAAACAAAACUUGGCAUUGGGAUUUCCUUACAAUGGAAGAUCUGGGGACAGAGGUGCUUGGUGCCAGCUGCUUUGUGCAGCCCCUGGAGAGCAGAGGGUGGCUCUCUGCAGCCCUCAGCGCAAGGCAUGGCUGGCCAGGCUGGCUGCCCACAGGCUGCUAAGGCAUUCUGAGGGUGCAGUCUAGUAAGCGUACUGUCGAGCAGUACAUCUGUGACAUCAGGCUCUGCAGGCUGUGCUUGUGAUGGCCUGGGG